This 305-nucleotide ribosomal RNA is filed under the name uncultured bacterium. RNAcentral's name for it is "bacterial SSU rRNA". It matches the Rfam family "Bacterial small subunit ribosomal RNA", at positions 336 to 638 of the family's 1533-position model. The record is from RNAcentral.
UUCCUACGGGGCGCAGCAGUGAGGAAUAUUGGUCAAUGGCCGAGAGGCUGAACCAGCCAAGUCGCGUGAGGGAAGACGGCCCUACGGGUUGUAAACCUCUUUUGUCGGGGAGCAAAGCGAACCACGUGUGGUUCAUUGAGAGUACCCGAAGAAAAAGCAUCGGCUAACUCCGUGCCAGCAGCCGCGGUAAUACGGAGGAUGCGAGCGUUAUCCGGAUUUACUGGGUGUAAAGGGGGCGCAGACGGCAAUGCAAGCCAGGAGUGAAAGCCCGGGGCCCAACCCCGGGACUGCCCUUGGAACUGCCU